RNAcentral lists this long non-coding RNA (2680 nucleotides) under Gossypium barbadense (sea-island cotton). RNAcentral describes it as "long non-coding RNA (GBAR_LNC020294)". The record is from RNAcentral. Lineage: Eukaryota; Viridiplantae; Streptophyta; Magnoliopsida; Malvales; Malvaceae.
UUAUAUUACAUUGUUACGUUUAAGUCAUUUACGUUAUUGUUUUGUUACGAAGUGGUCACUCUACUAUUAAGCUCCACUAAGACAGUCUUACGUGGCAUUUCAAAUUAAAUUUAUUUAAUUAAAAAUUUAUUUUCAUCCCAGUAAUUUGACAUCCAAAUUGGCAUUUAAAACUCAUUUGGACUGCCAAGUAGGACUGUUGUUAGGGAGAUAACGUAAUUUAACAGUAGAGUUGUAACACCCCUUAACCCUGAACCGUCGCCGGAACAGGGUUACGAGGCAUUACCGGACGUAUCAAACAAUUUACAGCAAAUCUGUCCAAUUGUGUAGCAGUUACUAAAUUACUUAUAAUUCGAGCUACGGAACUCGAAAUUUAAUUCUGUAAAUUUUACCUGAAACUAUACUCUUAUAUCUUCCUACCAUAAAAAUUUCAUAAUUUUUGGUCCAGCCAAUUAGUACAGUUUAUUAGUUAAAGUAUGCCCUGUUUCACCAAUUGACUGCCCUGACCUCUUGUCACUAAAAAUAAAAUUUCUCAUUGUAGGAUUGUCAUAUGAAGUUAUUACUUGUUUCUACAGAAAAUAGACUCAAUAAGGAUUCUAUACAUAUAAACUUCAACUCAUAACUAUAUUUGUACCAUUUUUAAUGAUUUUCUAAACUCAGAACAGGGGACUCCAAAAACAGUUUUGACCCCGUCUCACUAAAACUCUAAUAUCUCAGAAUAUAAAAUUCUUUUUCCUACAACGUUUCUUUCAUGUAAAAUUAGACUUGAUAAGCUUUAAUUCUAUAUAUCAUUCACUCUAUAAUUCCAUUUCUACUAUUUAUGGUGAUUUUUCACAUUCACGUCACUGCUGCUGCCAAAGAAACUGCUUCUUUGAAUUAGUUACCAUUUACACAUAUAUAACACCAAAACAUAAUCUUAACUAACCAUUUAUAUUAAAACAUAAUGACAUUUAUGCACAACCUAUGUACAUGCCUCCUUUACCAAAGGAAGAAUACAUCACCAAGUUUUGUUGAAGUCGGGAUUAAUCUGGAUGCUGAACCGGGACCUUUGACUUCUAUCGACCUGCGCACGGAAACAACCGUACGCUAAGUAAUUCAUACUCAGUGGUAUUACUAUAAUUCAAAUUAUAACAAUAAUAAAUAUGUAAUGCAUAAAUCUUAUAUACAAAUUUUAAUUCAAUAUUUCAACAAUAGCAAUCUAUCAAUCAAUAUCACAUAUCCACAAUUUGACUUUGAACAUAUCAUGAACCUUAGGUUCAUUUCUCAAUCUCAUUUCACAUUUCAAUUCACGAUUCAACUUUUUCAUUUCAUUUCAGUAGCUCAUUCGAUCAAGUCGUUCGGUUAUCAUUUCAUCAUUUACCCUAUUAACAAAACUCGGACUUUGGCGGAUAUAUGGAUCCAACCAAACACACCAGAAUGGCACCCAGUGCCUCAUCGGAUAGUUCGAAGCAAUAGUUGACACCCAGUGUCUCAUCGGCCAAGCCGAAGAAAGUUGGUACCCAGUACCUCAUCGAAUCUAUCCGAAGAAAUAUAGUGACACCCAGUGUCUCAUCGACUCGAGGUCGAAGUAUCCCUGAACUCUUCCAAUCCUAUGGCAUGCCAACUAUAUCCGACUCAGCCCGACUAGUUAAUAGGGUAUUUAAAUCACAUAUAAUCCCAAUUCAAUCACACUUUCUCACACUUUCAAUUCAAUCAUUUUUCCACCUUUCAAUCAAUAAUUAAUCCGCAAUUAACAUAUUUUCACAACUCAAUACAUUUCCAUUCAAUUUAAUAUCGGUCACUAUUCGAUUUAAAUUCAUUUCCCGCUUUCAAUCAACAAACAAUUCAAAUAUUAUUUCAUAUCAACUAUUCAAUUUAAUUCCCACUCAUAAUAAUAAUAAUAAUAAUAAUAAUAAUAAUAAUAAUACUUACCUCACAUUUCAUUUACUAGACACAUAAAUUAAAAUUUAACAUUUAAUAAUAAAUAACUUGAAUUAUAGUAAUACAAACCGUAAUUCUCCCGUUUUAGUCCUCGAUAACUUUCUCCUUUCCUUUUGAUGCCGAUGCCUCGGGUUCUUUGUUAGCUACGAAAAUAAUAAUUUAUACUAUUAAUUUCAGCACUACUUAUAAUAAAUAAUUGAGUUUCUAUUCAAUUUCUUCCUUAUUCUCAAUUUAAUCCUAACUAAAUUUAUUUACUUUUCUAAUUUAAUUCACACUCUAUUUCUAUUCAAAUUUCAUCCAAACUUAAAUUUAACUAUCAAAAUUUCAGCAUAUUUUCCUAAUUCCGAAUUUCCCCCACUUCAGUCCCUAAAACAUAAAACUUAUAGUUUCUUUUACAAUUUAAUCCCUUUAUUAAUUCUAACUUAAAACUCAUUCAAUUAAAUCCCUAAUUCAACAAUUUAUUCAACAUAAACUAUACUUUGAAAACCUAUGAACUUACAAAAUAUCAACUUAAUUCCAUCAAAACUUUGUUUUAAAGCUUUUAAAAUAUUAUAAUUAAGAGGAAAGGGCUAAUUUGACUUACCAAAUUAAACUUCAAGCUUCAAAACCCCUAUUUUCCCUAUUUUCUUUCUUUCUUUCUUUCCUUCCUUCUCUGCCCGUUUUGCUCUCUGUUUCUUUCUCUGUUUCGUCUCUUCUAUUCUGUUUCUUUUCUUUCUUUUUCUAUUCUUUCUUUUGUUUUAUGUAUAUAUAUAAUAUAAUAUAA